AGUGAACGCUGGCGGUAGGCCUAACACAUGCAAGUCGAACGGCAACACAGUAAGAGCUUGCCCUUAUGGGGGUCGAGUGGCGGACGGGUGAGGAAUACAUCGGAAUCUACUUUUUCGUGGGGGUUAACGUAGGGAAACUUACGCUAAUACCGCAUACGACCUACGGGUGAAAGAAGGGGAUCUUCGGACCUUGCGCGAUUGAAUGAGCCGAUGUCGGAUUAGCUAGUUGGCGGGGUAAGGGCCCACCAAGGCCACGAUCCGUAGCUGAUCUGAGAGGAUGAUCAGCCACACUGGAACUGAGACACGGUCCAGACUCCUACGGGAGGCAGCAGUAGGGAAUAUUCGGCAAUGGGCGCAAGCCUGAUGCAGCCAUACCGCGUGAGUGAAGAAGGCCUUCGGAUCGUAAAGCUCUUUUGUUGGGGAAGAAAAGCAACAGGUUAAACCCAAGGUAUUCUGACGGUACCCAAAGAAAAAGCAACGGCUAACUUCGUG
RNAcentral lists this ribosomal RNA (492 nucleotides) under uncultured bacterium. Its description in RNAcentral is "partial 16S ribosomal RNA". It matches the Rfam family "Bacterial small subunit ribosomal RNA", at positions 29 to 507 of the family's 1533-position model. The record is from RNAcentral.